This 408-nucleotide ribosomal RNA is filed under the name uncultured bacterium. RNAcentral describes it as "partial 16S ribosomal RNA". It matches the Rfam family "Bacterial small subunit ribosomal RNA", at positions 28 to 526 of the family's 1533-position model. The record is from RNAcentral.
GACGAACGCUGGCGGCGUGCCUAAUACAUGCAAGUCGAGCGAAGCGGCGGAUGGGUGAGUAACGCGUAGGUAACCUGCCCUUAAGUCUGGGAUACAAUUUUGAAACAGAUGCAAAUACCGGUUACUAAAGGAUCCACCCUCGAUGCAUUAGCUAGUUGGGAAGGUAACGGAUUACCAAGGCGAUGAUGCAUAGCCGAGUUGGGAGAGUGAUCGGCCACAUUGGGACUGAGACACGGCCCAAACCCCUACGGGAGCGCGCAGUAGGGAACCUUCGGCGAUGGACGAAAGUGUGAUGGAGCAACGCCGCGUGAGUUGAGACGGUUUUCGGAUCGUAAAGCUCUGUUGUUGGUGAAGCGGUAAUCAGCCAGAAAGUCACGGCUAACUACGUGCCAGCAGCCGCGGUAAUUC